Molecule: ribosomal RNA, 253 nt
Filed under: uncultured bacterium
Lineage: Bacteria
Description: partial 16S ribosomal RNA
Rfam family: Bacterial small subunit ribosomal RNA
Source: RNAcentral
UACGUAGGGUGCAAGCGUUGUCCGGAAUUAUUGGGCGUAAAGAGCUCGUAGGCGGUCUGUCACGUCGGCUGUGAAAACCCGAGGCUCAACCUCGGGCCUGCAGUGGGUACGGGCAGACUAGAGUGCGGUAGGGGAGAUUGGAAUUCCUGGUGUAGCGGUGAAAUGCGCAGAUAUCAGGAGGAACACCGGUGGCGAAGGCGGAUCUCUGGGCCGAUACUGACGCUGAGGUGCGAGAGCGUGGGGAGCGAACCGG